CCUACGGGCGGCAGCAGUGGGGAAUAUUGCGCAAUGGGCGAAAGCCUGACGCAGCGACGCCGCGUGAGGGAUGAAGGUCUUCGGAUCGUAAACCUCUGUCAGCAGGGAAGAACGGUCACUGUGCUAAUCAGCAGUGAGUUGACGGUACCUGCAAAGGCAGCACCGGCUAACUCCGUGCCAGCAGCCGCGGUAAUACGUAGGGAGCGAGCGUUGUCCGGAAUUACUGGGUGUAAAGGGAGCGUAGGCGGGGAUGCAAGUUGGGGGUCAAAACUACCGGCGCAACCGGGAGACGCACUCAAAACUGGAGCUCUGGAGUGAAGGAGAGGCAGGCGGAAUGCCUGGUGGAGCGGUGAAAUGCGGAGAUAUUAGGAGGAACACCAGUGGCGAAGGCGGCCUGCUGGGCUUUUACUGACGCUGAGGCUCGAAAGUGUGGGGAGCAAACAGGAUUAGAUACCCGGGUAGUC
Molecule: ribosomal RNA, 464 nt
Filed under: uncultured bacterium
Lineage: Bacteria
Description: partial 16S ribosomal RNA
Rfam family: Bacterial small subunit ribosomal RNA
Source: RNAcentral